AAUCAACGCUGGCGGCGUGCCUAACACAUGCAAGUCGAGCGCGAAUUGGGGGGCAACUCCCAUAGUAGAGCGGCAAACGGGUGAGUAACGCGUGGGUGAUCUACCUUCGAGUGGGGAACAACAUCGGGAAACUGGUGCUAAUACCGCAUGACAUCCUCGGAUCAAUCUGGGGAUCAAAGCUGGGGACCGCAAGGCCUGGCGCUUGAAGACGAGCCCGCGUCCGAUAGCUAGUUGGCGGGGUAAUGGCCCACCAAGGCUUCGAUCGGUAGCCGGCCUGAGAGGGCGGACGGCCACACUGGGACUGAGACACGGCCCAGACUCCUACGGGAGGCAGCAGUGGGGAAUUUUUCGCAAUGGGGGAAACCCUGACGAAGCAACGCCGCGUGGAGGAUGAAGGCCUCGGUC
This 405-nucleotide ribosomal RNA is filed under the name uncultured bacterium. Its description in RNAcentral is "bacterial SSU rRNA". It matches the Rfam family "Bacterial small subunit ribosomal RNA", at positions 29 to 424 of the family's 1533-position model. The record is from RNAcentral.